Molecule: ribosomal RNA, 253 nt
Filed under: uncultured bacterium
Lineage: Bacteria
Description: partial 16S ribosomal RNA
Rfam family: Bacterial small subunit ribosomal RNA
Source: RNAcentral
UACGUAGGGGGCAAGCGUUGUCCGGAAUCAUUGGGCGUAAAGAGCGUGUAGGCGGCCCGAUAAGUCCGCUGUGAAAGUCCAGGGCUCAACCCUGGGAUGCCGGUGGAUACUGUCGGGCUAGAGUGCGGAAGAGGCGAGUGGAAUUCCUGGUGUAGCGGUGAAAUGCGCAGAUAUCAGGAGGAACACCUAUUGCGAAGGCAGCUCGCUGGGACGUAACUGACGCUGAGACGCGAAAGCGUGGGGAGCAAACAGG